This 6644-nucleotide unclassified non-coding RNA is filed under the name Homarus americanus (American lobster). RNAcentral describes it as "uDP-N-acetylglucosamine transporter-like, transcript variant X1". The record is from RNAcentral. Lineage: Eukaryota; Metazoa; Arthropoda; Malacostraca; Decapoda; Nephropidae.
GUUCAGUCCAGGGUGUUGUAGGGGCCGUCUCAUGUAUUCUCGUCCAUAAGGUGAGGUGUGAUGGGUGAGGUGGAUGAGAGGUUGACCUCCUCGGGUGUUGCUGGUCACCAUGCUUUUGCUAACAGAGGAUGGCUCAAGACACAUCUCCUGUCCUACAAAACCCUCAGUCUGGUGGUGCUGUCUGUGCAAACUUCAACGAUGGUCCUGCUUCUUCGUUACAGCCGCACGUCAAUUAAUUUUGCCCAUCAGCCAUACAUCAUCACCACUGCUGUCUUCUCAUCUGAGGUUCUUAAGCUGGGACUUUCCCUGGGAUUUUUACACAUAGAGUCUGGUAAGGUAAUGAAAGCAACUUUGAAUCGGCUUUAUGAAGACGUAUUUAUCAAUAUUUGGGAGACAUUGAAACUGGCCAUUCCAGCUUUUUUAUAUGUCGUCCAAAACAACUUGCUUUUUAUUGCACUCUCCAACCUGGAUGCUGCCACAUAUCAGGUCACGUACCAGUUAAAGAUCCUGACGACAGCUAUUUUCUCAUGGGUAAUGCUCGGCAAGCGUCUUACACCCAUCCACUGGCUAGCCCUCUGUCUGCUCAUGUUGGGGGUCUCUCUUGUACAGGUGGAGGGGAGCAGUAAUGGUAAUGGCAGCAACAGUAAGGUUCUGCCAGUUGCCCCAGAGGUGGAGGUGCUUGAGGGUGGUGAUUCAGUGAUACUCGGAGGCACAGAGGAAGGUGCAGGUUUUCCACCGCCUGACAUACGCAAUGAACACCCCAACACAGAAGUAUCGAGACUUUUAGGAAUUUUAGCAGUUUUUGUAUCGUGUAUUUCUAGCGGAUUCUCGGGCGUGUACUUUGAACGACUCGUUAAGAGAGGUACACAAACAUCAUUGAUCAUCAGAAAUAUUCAGCUGGGAAUGUUUUCUAUUGCAUUUGCUGUGAUAGCAGUGAGCAGUGAUAGUACAGCUAUUAAGGACGGGGGGUUCUUCCAGGGUUACUCCGUUGCCACUUGGAUGGUAGUUCUUAUACAAGCAUUUGGUGGACUGGUAGUGUCAGUGGCAAUGAAGUACGCCGAUAACAUUCUGAAGGGGUUUGCCACUUCGCUGUCCAUUGUGAUGUCUACUCUAGUGUCGUGGCUGGUCUUGGGAGACGCUGCCCCAUCCACACAGUUUGUUGUCGGAGCAACCAUUGUUAUAUCAUCAACGGUACUGUAUGGCCUCACCCCUCAAAAGGGGGGUGUGUACACUGCAGGUUCUCAGCUUUCAUCUAUCAACAGCUCUCAUAAGAUCAUCAAGGAAGAAAAAAGUGAGUGAAAUCGUAUGACCUAAGCAAAGGUGGCCACUUUUAACAGAUGUUACACAAUGUAAAAGUUAAGACAUGAAAUUCAUGAGGCUGCCUAAAGGUUGUUUUCAGUUAUGUGGCUGUUACUUUGUACCCUUAUUCAAGAUGAGUGGAAAAAGCCUAUCAAGUUCAAGUGAAAGCAGUGGUGAUAAAAGAUUCCAUAAAGGAAUUACAUUGGACAUUAAACUUGAUGUUGUAAGGAGGUAACUCCCAGUAAUUCUGAUCCCACAACUUCACCACCACCUGCAGCACUCAAUAUUGUUUCUGGUAAGUAAAAUUAGAGUGUUCUGUUCAUUUUUUAUCAUGUUACAUCAUGAAUGACUCAUCAUAUGUGGCUAAAACUGUCUAAUUUCAUACACAUACGUGCUUGUGUCACAUUUUUGGGCCUUAAGAAAUUUCCUUAGGAAUGCAUCUCAACUUUUAUGCUGGAAGCAUAUGAGAAAAGUGGUUUUGCGUUACAGAAUUUUGCUUUACGGAAAGAUUUUCAGGAAUGGAACCCUUCCGUAACCUGGGGGAUGCCUGUACUGUACUUAUAUUGUACAGUAUAUACUGUAAGGUAUACUAUAAUUUGUACUAAGCGGAAGUCCUGAUAUUCCCAUUAGGUAUGGGCAUCACUGGGUGUCAGAAGUACCCUCCAGAUGAUACAUUUACCUUCCAGAAAGGGGAAUUUUAUCAAUGGUUUACAUUCAUUGUAGGUUCUUGUGGCCAAGUGACAUACAGUUCAGUGGCUAAGGUUUUAUCUUUUACCAUUACAGUAUGUGCAAUAUGCCUGGUCUGUUGUCUUUCUAUAAAUGUUAACUUGAGACCUGAGAAUUUUUUACUACUUCUCAUCUAAGGAACUAUGAUCUGUCUCAGUCACUGGAAAUGUAAAUAUUCAUUAUUAGCAAUACUUUUUUGCAUUCCUGAAAGAAAAAGAUCAUUCAAAGAAAGAAGUUACAUUGCUGGGUUAGUAACUGUAGAUCUUCGGUAAACUCUCCAUUUACCAAAGCUUGCAGGGGGAAGGAUGUUAUUUGGUCACAAAAACUUUGUUUACCACUUAAUUAUAAGUAACCUUUUGUUUGUGUAUUACAGUAGCUAGAGCUAUUGAAUUACCUUAUACGAAUUGUUUAUAACUCUACCAAAGACAUAAAUACUCGGCUUAUUAAUUAUGAAUAUGAUAUUUAUAAACAUGACUUAAGCUAAAGUAACAUAUUCUACUCAAUAAAUUAACAUCAGAACAAUAAAUUUCUAACAGUGAGUUUAACAUGACACAGUGGUAAGGAGCACAGUUGGUGGGAUAUCAGAGGUAGUAAUGUUUAUCAGUCCACCACAGUGCGUUGUAAUGAAGUGUUAGCCCAAAAAUUCCCAAUAAUCACAGAAUUUGUUAAUGUUUGGAUUAAUUGGAGGGUUUACUGCAUGUUAGAAGAUUUUGUUAUACUGUAUUUAUUUUCUUUGAGUGAAACAUGUUGAAAAUAAGUAUUGCUUACUAAUAAUCAUGUCACAAUACUGAUGCUAGUCUUAUAUAUGUGAUAUUUAAUGUAUACAUAUUUGUUCUUAAUUUAUAAUGUUCUAGUACAAAGAACAGAAUGCAUAUGUAUAUUACUAUCUUCAUUAUUUAACUUACACAGUGCUAUAAUUGAGACUUCUCUAAAAGGAACAUUAUGUAUGGUCACAAGGAGGAGGUUUUAAGUUGAUCAUCAUACACAUUUAUUUUAGAAAUUUGAAAAAAAACUUAUUCAUCCAACCCAUCAAAUAAUCACCCAAUACAUCACUUAACUAUUGCAUUUUGCCUUGUAAAUACCAAUUGUUCUCUUCAUCCUUCAAUAUUCAGUUCCUUGCUUUUAAACUGAAAUAAUGUUCAAAUUGGAUGACACCUGAGUAACUUUAAUGUGAUCAAUGAGUCAAUAAACUAAUGAAUGUAGAUAAUUAGAUAUAUUACUUGAUAUACCUUUGGUAAAACAUGGCCUUUUUAGAAAAUGUUGACACACCUGUACUUGCUUUGAUAUAAGAUUAAAUUUGUUUCAUGAAUAUCAUAGCUGUGUUGUUUAUGUUGGUGUAGGAAUUAAUAUAUUUUUUGUUAAAGUCCACAUUUUUCUCCUGUAAGUUAAAUGAUACUACAGGGGUUAGUUGUCUAUGAGCUAAAUACCAUUAUGCACAUCUCUUUACACUGCAUCGUAAUCUAUGAACCAAACACCUUAGCUUCUUACACCUCUGUUUACAUUGUCUUUACUGUCAGUUUACACAUCUCACGGGGCAUAUGUCAUAUCUAUUGUUUUUCCUUUGUCUUUUAUUUAUUUUACUCUUACCUUUGAAAUUGCUUUUAUAGCCUUGCUCUGUAUGUAAAUAUUCAUCUCACACACUGGAAAUGUUUUUCUUUCUGUACCGGUAGUCAUCAUUUCUCUUCGAAGAUGUUGAUAGUUGCCGAAUUAAACAGGAUCCUUGUGGUUCCUUUACUCUCUGCAAACCAAUUAUUUCUCCACUCUUAUUGAUUCCACUUUCUAUAUUUUAUUUAUUUUUUCAACUCUUAGCUCUUACCACAUCUGUCACUCACAUGAUUCAUUUCAACAGCUUAAAUUUUAAAACUUUUGUACUGUAUUUCAUUUCCAUUUCACUCCCCCCAGAUCCAUGGUUAUACAGUAAUUGUAUUAAUUCAUAAACCUCUUCUAAAAUCUAGAUCUGUUUUCCUUUAGUCUGUUUGAGUGUUAAUAGGUUUUAUCUGCCAACAGUACAAAAGCAACAAAUUGGCUAUUCACCAACUGCUCUCUCUCUGAUUUGAUCUCCAUUUACUAAAACAUCUUUGCUUCUUUCCUCACCCUCAUGAUUUAUUAGUCUAUACUGUACUUCUUUCUUCCUUGACAUGCUUAGUUCUUAACUCUGCUUUCCUGUACUGUAUAUUAAUAGUACUGUACUAUUUGUAACGUUAUUCUGUCACCUGGUAUAGUCCGCCAAAAAACUAUUAGCAAAGGAGUAUUAUAGGUGUAGGUAGAACAGUUCACAAGAGCACAAAUUCCAAUAGUCUACUUCUAUGAUAGGGUUGUGUUCCUGAAAACCUUGUAGACUGAAUAAUCUUAAUCUGAAUCUCGCAUUUAUCCGUUGAUUACUAUUAUAAAUUAAGAUAUAUUUUAAAAACGAACAUCAUCGACUGAAAUGCUUGCUCUUUUAUUUUUCAUUAUGUACUUAUAAUAAUCUUCCAGUAAUUUUUGUGCCAUUCUAUACUAUCAGUCUCUAUUCCAGUUACUUUCAACUGCAUAUCACACGAUUUCUCUUUUCAACGAGUACGUACAGUAUAUUUUGCCUUUAAUCUAUGUUAUACUGUCUAUGUUAAGAAUCCUUUUUUUGUUUUAUUCCCACAUUCCUAAGUGAUUCACCAGUGUGCUGUGUUUUAGCUAAGUUCUCUUAACACAAGACCUUCUACAUAGAACUUAUGUAUCCCUACGAGCACCUUGCUUUUAAUCAGUUUUAUACUUUGUCAUUAUUUCCACAUUGCAUAACACCCUUCCAUUAUUGUGCAUCAUUUGAAUGUAGCUUAGAUGAUGCUACCUUGUUGUAGUGAAGGUUGUGAACUUUCUUCUAUAAAAUCAAUAUUUUUUUGUUAUUGUUAUCCAAAUAGUGAUAGGCCUCAUGAGGAAGGUUAUACCACAGUGUUUCAUACAACAUUGGCCUUUUGUAGUGUAACUGGUAAUGGAAUGGAAAAAAUCUUAGUUAGUGAAGUAAACUCAACAAACUUUUAAGACCUUUUAGUUAAACAUGAAUAAAGUAAUCAAGAAAAUUUUUAUCUGAUGUUUAAAUUCUUUGAGUGAAAGUUAUUUCCCUUGUCAUUCCUAGAAAUGCACUAUAAAGUAAGUAAAUUGAAAAAUAUAUUGUAAAUUAAAAUAUACGUACUUACGCUAAAGAUCUGUAAGAACCAAUCGAUGUGAAGAUGUCACCCUUAUAUUUUGCAAUGCAUAUGAAAGUAAACUGUCCAAGUGAUAUACUGUAGUAAGCCCUCAAUGAGUUAAUUACAACACUUACCUUACACUUCCCUUUCAUAUUUCUUAAUUAUUCAUUACAUUCAUUUGUUGGCUUUAUCAUCAAUACCAUAUACCAAUAACACAUACAGAAUCCCUAUCAUAGCUCUCAUUAACAGUUUCUGCCAUUACACCUAAAGUAAAGGAAAACUCCAAUAGAUGUUCAUAAUUGUAACCAACAGACAGAGAGCUAAUGAUGGGCCAGGAGAUGCAAAGUAUAAUGGAAUGAUAGUGGUUACUGAAGCAAAUACUUCCCUAAAAUAAUAUCAUAGUAUAACUCAGCAUUGUAUUUAGUGGAUUUAACUUUAGGCCUGUAAUAACCUGCAAUUUCUAACCUGUUUAAUUCUUUUCUCUUCUCAUAAUGCUGACAGCUUUAACAAUUCUCCUUCUACACCAAAAAAUUGUAAAUGCUUUUCAUGUUUUAUUUUAAAAAAUUUCUAAAUUAUCAGAUACAGUACUAAUUACACCUUUUUUUCUCGAGGUAAUAAAUUCUCUCUUUAGGAUUUUCUCAAUUCAGAUUCUCAGAGUGAAGGUGAUCCACACUCAUUUCACUCAGUAUAUCCUACACUUAUUUUUCCACCCUGCAUGUACAGAUCCAGCACUCAUCUAACCACAAUCACAUUAUUAAUAAACAAAAAUAAUUUAUUCAAGGCUAAAAUAAAAAUAUAAAUUCUUCUUUCUUCAAUGUUUUGUAAACAAACAUUCUCAAGGUGAUGAACUAGCCCACUAAUCUACGUAUAAAUAUCACACACUCACACAUUGUUCUCUCCCAUAUCUAGAUUAGUAAAUAUAUUCACUUCCUUGCUCACUUAACAUUCUUUGUAAGCGAACAUCUGAUCUACAUAACCAUGUCAUUCCAUAAAGCUUUCCAAAUUUUCUCUCACUUAAGACUAAAAUGAUUCUUUCUGUUACUACACACAUAUGUACUACCUCUUAUACUCCCCAAGCUAAUACCAGAAUAAUUCUUAAGUGCUACAAUGUUGAGGACUAUAUUAACAUUUAUGAACUUGUUAUAAACUACACUGGUUGUGCUGGGUAUUACUUGAGGUGAGAUUUUAGUUUUAUCACCAAAAUGUCACAAAGUUCAUGACAGUUUUAAUAAUGUAUGUACAGUGCUUUAGGUUCAAGACUUACUUUUAGUCUUCAGAAUGCAGAAAAUUACUCAAAAAAGGUCAACAUUGAUGCUUAAUGAUUUAAGCAGGAAAGAAAAUAAUGUACCGUAGAUUCGGGUUAAUUUGAUAUGUAAUUGUAGCAUUGAAUUAUUAUAUUCGUUAUUUAAUAAUGGUACGUGUGAGAAAAGAAUUUAAAUAAACGAGAAUGAAAUUACAGUA